Varroa destructor (honeybee mite) is the source of this 867-nucleotide long non-coding RNA. RefSeq lists it as uncharacterized. Lineage: Eukaryota; Metazoa; Arthropoda; Arachnida; Mesostigmata; Varroidae. The record is from RefSeq and is a predicted model, not a curated record.
CCUAGCAUUUAGUGCACCUCGUGUUAUUAAUAUAUAUAUAUAUAUAUAUAUAUAUAUAUAUAUAUAUAAUAUGAGGCAGUAGCUGCCCCACUGCAAGGUUCUCUAAAGAAAGAAACGGGCGAAAAGAUUUAUAGAGUGUCUAGAAGGAACCCUGGGACACCAUAAAUUAGCGAAGCUGAACUGUAAUUGAACAAGCGCCACAGCAGGCGGGACAUUCGGGCCCUUCCGGUUUUUUGACUGAAGACAAAUUAGUCGGAGAUAGCAUCGGUGACUAGCUUCGAUGGAUUCACCCACUUACCUCGAGAAGUCUCUUAAAGUCCUGUACUCCCACGCUAUCUACAUCAACACCGAUGCCGUACUUUCAAGGUUACAUUACCAUGUUUGGCAGGUUCCUGCAGAGUGAAUAGCCCUACAUUCUGAUAGGAACAGACGUGCCUACGGUGAUAUGCAUCUUGCUCUUAGUAUUGUGCUAACAUGUUUAUUUUGAAAUAUUGUUGCGUUCUUCGUUUCGGCUUUACCACCAAAUGCAACCUGUCCCUCUGAGGAACCGCUGUUCCCCCUAAAGGAACCGAACGGGAAAUGAAGAAUGGUUCAUGGCAUGCGUCUCAUUGGCGAAACUGUAUCAUAAAUUCAAGUGAAAUGGCGAGUGGGCUUUAGCCACUUAACGGUAUUGCUUUUCCAGCGAAAACAAGAUGCCUCCUCUCGUUAUAAACUACAUUUAUCUAUCCGCCAUAAUCGAGUAAAUCGUGCAACCGUGACAUGGAAACAGUACUUUGGAGGAACGGCUUCUUAGUGCAUUUUUCCUUUAUCUCCCCAAAAAGUUUCUACUAACAGACUAAGAUGAUGACAAAGCUUGUAAUAAGGCGU